GUCCCCAUCAUCUAGUGGUCGAGGACAUCUCUCUUUCAAGGAGGUACCGGGGAUUCGACUUCCCCUGGGAUA
Molecule: transfer RNA, 72 nt
Filed under: Cucumis melo (muskmelon)
Lineage: Eukaryota; Viridiplantae; Streptophyta; Magnoliopsida; Cucurbitales; Cucurbitaceae
Also listed under: 1 other name
Rfam family: tRNA
About the family: Transfer RNA (tRNA) molecules are approximately 80 nucleotides in length. Their secondary structure includes four short double-helical elements and three loops (D, anti-codon, and T loops).
Source: Rfam by way of RNAcentral